GAUGAACGCUGGCGGUAUGCUUAACACAUGCAAGUCGAACGGACUCUUCGGAGUUAGUGGCGGACGGGUGAGUAACGCGUGAGAAUCUGGCUUUGGGUUCGGGACAACCACUGGAAACGGUGGCUAAUACCGGAUGUGCCGAGAGGUAAAAGAGAAAUUGCCUGGAGAUGAGCUCGCGUCUGAUUAGCUAGUUGGUGAGGUAAAGGCUCACCAAGGCAGCGAUCAGUAGCGGGUCUGAGAGGAAGACCAGCCACACUGGGACUGAGACACGGCCCAGACUACUACGGGAGGCAGCAGUGGGGAAUGUUCCGCAAUGGGCGAACGCCUGACGGAGCAAUAACGCGUGAGGGAAGAAGGCUACUGGGGUGUAAACCUCUUUUCUUAGAGAAGAACACAAUGACGGUACCUAAGGAAUCAGCACCGGCUAACUCCGUG
This 435-nucleotide ribosomal RNA is filed under the name uncultured bacterium. Its description in RNAcentral is "partial 16S ribosomal RNA". It matches the Rfam family "Bacterial small subunit ribosomal RNA", at positions 28 to 507 of the family's 1533-position model. The record is from RNAcentral.